GAUGAACGCUGGCGGCGUGCCUAAUACAUGCAAGUCGAGCGAACAGAUGGGGAGCUUGCUCCUCUGACGUUAGCGGCGGACGGGUGAGUAACACGUGGAUAACCUACCUAUAGGACUGGGAUAACUUCGGGAAACCGGAGCUAAUACCGGAUAAUAUAUUGAACCGCCUGGUUCAAUAGUGAAAGACGGUUUUGCUGUCACUUAUAGAUGGAUCCGCGCCGCAUUAGCUAGUUGGUAAGGUAACGGCUUACCAAGGCAACGAUGCGUAGCCGACCUGAGAGGGUGAUCGGCCACACUGGAACUGAGACACGGUCCAGACUCCUACGGGAGGCAGCAGUAGGGAAUCUUCCGCAAUGGGCGAAAGCCUGACGGAGCAACGCCGCGUGAGUGAUGAAGGUCUUCGGAUCGUAAAACUCUGUUAUUAGGGAAGAACAAAUGUGUAAGUAACUAUGCACGUCUUGACGGUACCUAAUCAGAAAGCCCCGGCUAACUACGUG
Molecule: ribosomal RNA, 497 nt
Filed under: uncultured bacterium
Lineage: Bacteria
Description: partial 16S ribosomal RNA
Rfam family: Bacterial small subunit ribosomal RNA
Source: RNAcentral